ACCAGACGAUGCGGGAUCGAAGAUGAUUAGAUACCAUCGUAGUCUUAACCGUAAACAAUGCCGACUUGCGAUUGUUGUGGUCGUUUUUUAGAUCACAGCAGCAGCACAUGAGAAAUCCAAGUGUUUGGGUUCCGGGGGGAGUAUGGUCGCAAGGCUGAAACUUAAAGGAAUUGACGGAAGGGCACCACCAGGAGUGGAGCCUGCGGCUUAAUUUGACUCAACACGGGGAAACUUACCAGGUCCGGACAUAGGAAGGAUUGACAGAUUGAGAGCUCUUUCUUGAUUCUAUGGGUGGUGGUGCAUGGCCGUUCUUAGUUGGUGGAGUGAUUUGUCUGGUUAAUUCCGAUAACGAACGAGACCUCUACCUGUCAUACUACGACUGUUGAUGAGAAUCGGCAGGCGUUCUAUGAGGGACUGACUGGGGUUACCGGAAGGAAGUUCGUG
This 444-nucleotide ribosomal RNA is filed under the name Thraustochytriidae sp. RNAcentral's name for it is "SSU rRNA". It matches the Rfam family "Eukaryotic small subunit ribosomal RNA", at positions 982 to 1449 of the family's 1831-position model. The record is from RNAcentral. Lineage: Eukaryota; Bigyra; Thraustochytrida; Thraustochytriidae.